CCCUUAGAUGUUCUGGGCAGCACGCGCGCUACAAUGGUCUUCGCAAACGGAUGCAUUCUCGAAGGAGAAUGCCAAUCUUGGAAUCUAUGCCUUGGUCGGGACAGUUGCUUGCAAUUUUUCGACUCGAACCAGGAAUUCCUUGUAAUCGUGAUUCAUCACAUCACGAUGAAUACGUCCCUGCCCUUUGUACACACCGCCCGUCGCUCCUACCGAUCGAAGAGUUAGGUGAAUUGUUUUGAUCGAUAAGAUUUGACUAUGGUCAACUCUCGUUGGGAAAUUCUGUGAAUCUGACUGUUUAGAGGAAGGAGAAGUCGUAACA
Molecule: ribosomal RNA, 319 nt
Filed under: uncultured eukaryote
Lineage: Eukaryota
Description: partial 18S ribosomal RNA
Rfam family: Eukaryotic small subunit ribosomal RNA
Source: RNAcentral